This 26-nucleotide non-coding RNA is filed under the name Mus musculus (house mouse). The record is from RNAcentral. Lineage: Eukaryota; Metazoa; Chordata; Mammalia; Rodentia; Muridae.
UGUCUAUGUUUGGGGGGCUUACUCAG